Molecule: RNA transcript, 1202 nt
Organism: Humulus lupulus (European hop)
Lineage: Eukaryota; Viridiplantae; Streptophyta; Magnoliopsida; Rosales; Cannabaceae
Gene name: histone deacetylase 17-like
Exons: 7
Source: RefSeq, a predicted model, not a curated record
UAUCCGUGUCCUCCGACCUCCCUCUCUCUCUCUGACCAGCCCUCUCUUCUCUCCUCUCUCCACUCUCACCCAUCCACAACGUUGGCCUCCUCUCAGUCUCAAUUCUCAUCCCUCUCAAACAGAAUUUUCUGUGUGUUAUAGAAGCCACUAAAGCAAUGUUGUCGAUGGAAAAAAAUUCCCGCCGAUAACAAAGUGCGGCGAGUCGACGACGACUUCGUACGGUUCUAUCGUAGCCGAUCUGGACGGAACACUUUUGAUCUCCAGAAGCUCCGUCUCUUACUUCAUGCUCGUCGCCAUGAGUGGACCACAAGACAGUACCAUUGAACUUUGCUAAGGAACACCUUAAGAAUGAGGGUUCUGUCAUUCUUUUGAUUUCGGACAGAGGAUUUUGGUCUGUUAAAUUUGAAAUAAAGCACAAAAACUAUAGCAAAAGGAGAGCUGAAUUUAGUUGUGGUUGGAAAGUCUUUGCCAAGAACAAUUAUUUGAAAGUUGGUGAUGGCUGCAUUUUCGAGCUUCUUAAGAGAUCCGAAAAUGUAUUCAAGGUUUCCAUUGACUGUGCUGCUGAUUAUGCAGCCGACUAAAAUCUCAAGCUGGUGGAAUCAAAGCAAAGCCAAAAGGAGAAGUGGGAGAAGUUACUGAGUUGUUUUUUGAAUUAUGUAUGCAUAAUGGAGAACUUGCUAUGCUUUAAAACUCAAAACUAAAAAUGGUGAAUGAAUCUAUGAGUCAUGCUGAGUGUGUUGAGUUUGUGAAGAAAUUCAAUUUGCCCUUACUGGUUACUGGAGGCGGUGGAUACACAAAAGAGAACGUUGCUCGAUGUUGGACUGUUGAAACUGGAGUUCUUCUAGACAGAGAGCUUCCAAAUGGAUAAUGCGAACACUAAAUCGUAUCUUACUACGAUCAAAGUAAUAAUGUAAUGGAAUAUCAUAGGAUUGACUUUUAAGGUGGAUGCUUAGAUUUAUUAGGAAGAGUAUUGAGAAAAGAAACAUGAUUGAGUUCGCAUUGAUUUGGAGAAGAGAAUUAUGUUGUCUUGUUGAGAUUUGUUGUAUUAUAUAUUUUGAAGUUUAUAGAUUUAUAAUAUUAUAAUGAAUUUUUAUUGAGAAUAAUUUAUUCUCAUGGGGAUUUGAUGUAUUAUUUACAUUUAAAUUGUAUGAAUAAAUGUUGUAUGCAUAUGAAUUUUUAUUAUAAUAAAUAUAAUUUUUUUU